This is a long non-coding RNA of Cyprinus carpio carpio, 654 nucleotides long. The record is from Ensembl. Lineage: Eukaryota; Metazoa; Chordata; Actinopteri; Cypriniformes; Cyprinidae.
CACAAGCAAAGGAAGGUUUAGGGUUAUAUUCUUAAGUUGCAUAAUUCACCUAUUUUUUCCUCAUUUUUUACAGAUAUACAAUGGGAAAUGUUAUGAUUUGCUUGUCAACAACCCAGUGGUGACCAGACGAAAACUUCACUGCGAGUGGAAUGUGAGCAUCUUUUGCAGGCCUCAGUAUCAGCUGGUUCUAUUUAUGGAUGAAGAGCAAGCUAAAAGACCAUUAUGGAGCAUUUUACACAGCUUUGAAAGGCCAGACCAAAUAUGCAACAUGAAGAUGCUUCCAGCGAUGCACACAACCCUUCCAACGAUCCUUUCACCAUGUAAAUCAUUUCAGCUUGCCUAUCCAAUGCCAAAAGGUUUAUGCCUAUUUUGCGGUUCAGAGGGACACCUCCUUCCCUCGUGUCCAGUCAGACCUCCAUGCCCAGCGCAAAAGCCCUCAUAGACUCCAGAUAGAGGAUGACGAGUGGAAGACAGAUUUGUAACACCAUCAGGCCACUACAGAUAUCUCAUUAUGCCAUACAGACUGUCCAACUCACCCACAGUCUUCCAGGGAUUUAUAUAUGAGGUGUUCCGGGAAUUCCUUCAUUGUUUCUUUAUGAUGAUAUCCUCAUCUAUUCCCGGAACCAGGCCAAAUAUCUCCAAAAUGUGACGCAG